CACCGGCGUUUCGGGUGCCGUCCGUGCCAGUCA
This 33-nucleotide small RNA is filed under the name Propionibacterium australiense. Its description in RNAcentral is "CRISPR_Spacer". The record is from RNAcentral. Lineage: Bacteria; Bacillati; Actinomycetota; Actinomycetes; Propionibacteriales; Propionibacteriaceae.